UAUUUUCACCUUUUCCGUGCUACUGAUCUAUUUCUGCUUUCCUGAGACCAGUCUUGGACAAGAGACAGAAGAGACGAAAUAUGCUGCCAGAAUAGAGAGUUGCCGUGGAUGACGACUGAACUCCCUCCCUUCAGUGAAGCAGUUCAUCUUUCAAGACCUUCCAUAUUAUCAUGACGUAGAUUUAAGGUUCGUGGGGGGCGCCAAUCCAGACCUUCUCAUCCUUGAUUCUGA
Lytechinus variegatus (green sea urchin) is the source of this 231-nucleotide long non-coding RNA. RefSeq lists it as uncharacterized. Lineage: Eukaryota; Metazoa; Echinodermata; Echinoidea; Temnopleuroida; Toxopneustidae. The transcript is spliced from 3 exons. The record is from RefSeq and is a predicted model, not a curated record.